GUGACACACUGGCACAGUCAAUAACACCACAGGGAAACAAGACACUUGCAGCUGUGGGGCAAAAUGUCACUCUGUCCUGCGAAUAUGAAGGAGCUAUAACUAACCUGCACUGGUAUCGCCAAUAUCCCAGAUCCAAACCAGAGUUCCUGGCUUGGAUUUACCCACAAGGUGCCACAAGUAACCCACUUCCUCCUCGUAUUAUACCAAAAGUGGACAAAAAUCUUGAGUGAAAUGUAAACAGAAAGGAGGGACUACACAGAUCUGAUAUGAUAUAAUCACUUCAGACGAGAGUAGAAACAAUUCAGUCUUCCAGGGAACACAGUGCACUGCACAAUGGAUUUAUUUUCAGUUUUUCUCUUCUACAGUCUGGCAUCUGCUCUUUCUGGAAACGUCAUCACACCAGACAAAACAGAGCUUUUUGCUGAGGAGGGUUCAAAUGUUACAUUGUCCUGUAGUUAUUCCUCUGCAGAUGAUCUAUACUGGUACCGUCAAUAUCCCGGUUCAGCUCCUGAAUUUAUUGAGCUCAUCUUUGAUGGUGCAACAAACACCAAAAAGUCUGAAGUAGAUCCAAGACUCUCAGUUAAACUAACUAAACAAGAACAAAAGCAUGUGGAUCUGAAGAUCUCCUCUGCUGCUGUAUCAGACUCUGCUCUGUACUACUGUGCUCUGAGGCCCACAGUCACAGCAAACAUUUGGGUUCCCUACAAAAACCCUUUAACCAGUGAGAGAGAGCAAGAAUAGAGCUGAUGUAGUGAGUCAAACAGUCUUAAACUGACAUUAUGACAUUCAUAAAACAUACAGUAUUUCACUUUGCAUAUACUCCACAGUAUUUUAAUGGACACUGGCUACCAGUAGCCGCUCGCAUCAAAUUCAAGGUACUGAUGCUUGCCUACAAGAUGACCACUGGCACGGCACCAGCAUACCUAAGCUCAUUAGUUCAAUCUUAUGCGCCCUCCAGAAGUUUGCGCUCUGCAAGUGAACGACGCCUUGUGGUGUCAUCCCAAAGAGGUUCAAAAUCACUCUCACGGACCUUAUCCUGGACUGCGCCCAGCUGGUGGAAUAACCUCCCGAUCUCAAUUCGAACAGCUG
This is a long non-coding RNA of Cyprinus carpio (common carp), 1089 nucleotides long. The record is from Ensembl. NCBI's taxonomy places the organism in Eukaryota, Metazoa, Chordata, Actinopteri, Cypriniformes, Cyprinidae.